AUGGAUUGCCGCCCGUGCAGUGCCGGCAGCACAAACCGAGCGGAGCCGAGGGGAGCCCAGCCCAUCCCGCCUGGAGAUGACCGCGGUGCGCACCUGGUGCCGCCUGAACCGAAGUCCCCACCCAAACUCCAGGCCGGCAGCCCGCACAGGUCGCCCCACGCCCCGCGGCCCGGGAGAAGGCGGCACUCCCGGCCUCUGCCGCCCAGCGAGCCGGGCCGCCCCCGGCCCCACCCGGCUGCCACAGCCUUCGCUGCGCAGGGCGAGGCCGAAGGAAGGCGCGUUCCCCCCGGCCGGCGGCAGCGCUGCCCGCGGCUCGGCCCCCGCGCACCUGCCCGCGGCUCCUCCCGCGGCUCCUGCCCUGCGCCCGCUGCCCUCGGCCCCGCGCCCCUUCCGCCGCUGCACAAAGGCGCCGACAGCUGGCAGGCGGCUGCCGACGGCACACGUCGAGGGUCAAACCAGCUCCGAAGGCGUUGCGGAAUGCGCGAAAAUCUACGGAAACUGCGGAAGGACACUGAAAUCUGUGCAGUGAAACACCCAAUACCCCACUCGUCCACACCGUCAGGGCCGGCAAUCGGAAAGGAAUUAAUACGGAGAACGAGCGCGAAGCGACGCAGGAACAGGGCCGUUCCCGAGGCCCGGCGCCACACCCCUCUGGCGGGGCGCUGGCUGGCGAAAUCGCUUAGAGAACAACGACACCCAGCAUGCAGCGCGCACCGCUGGGAAGCUCUCGUCGCCGACGGUCCCCGGGCGUGGCCGCGGCUCUGCCGCGCGUUGCAUGAUGGGAGUUGUAGUCUUCCGGAGUGGGGACAAGCUAGCACCCUGCACUCGGCGUCCGCAGUACGCGGGGAGCGAGCGCCACCGCCUGCCGUGGAGUGCGUGCGCGCAUGCGCGCCGUGCUCCGGUUCGCUGGGGGCGGGGGCGUGCGGGGAGCUCCCCUCAGGGACGCCCCGGCAGCGGCCCCGGCAGCGGCCCCGGCAGGGCAGGGCGGGCCGAGGCGGGAUCCUUGUGCGGGACAGCGCCCUCACCUCUGCUUUGGCUUCCGGGCAGUGA
Molecule: long non-coding RNA, 1050 nt
Filed under: Junco hyemalis (dark-eyed junco)
Lineage: Eukaryota; Metazoa; Chordata; Aves; Passeriformes; Passerellidae
Description: lncRNA (ENSJHYG00000000503.1)
Source: RNAcentral